GGAUGAACGCUGGCGGUAUGCUUAACACAUGCAAGUCGAACGGAAUACUUCGGUAUUUAGUGGCGGACGGGUGAGUAACGCGUAAGAAUCUGGCUCCAGGUUCGGGACAACAGAGGGAAACUUCUGCUAAUACCGGAUGUGCCGAGGUGAAAGCUUUAGUGCCUGGAGAUGAGCUUGCGUCUGAUUAGCUAGUUGGAGUGGUAACGGCACACCAAGGCGACAAUCAGUAACUGGUCUGAGAGGAUGACCAGUCACACUGGGACUGAGACACGGCCCAGACUCCUACGGGAGGCAGCAGUGGGGAAUUUUCCGCAAUGGGCGAAAGCCUGACGGAGCAAUACCGCGUGAGGGACGAAGGUCUGUGGAUUGUAAACCUCUUUUGUCAGGGACGAUAAUGACGGUACCUGACGAAUAAGCCUCGGCUAACUCCGUGCCAGCAGCCGCAGUAAGACGGAGGAGGCAAGCGUUAUCCGGAAUUAUUGGGCGUAAAGCGUACGCAGGUGGAUUGACAAGUCUUUUGUCAAAGACCAGGGCUCAACCUUGGGAAGGCAGGGGAAACUGUUAAUCUAGAGUGCGGUAGGGGCAGGAGGAAUUCCCGGUGUAGCGGUGAAAUGCGUAGAUAUCGGGAAGAACACCAGCGGCGAAAGCGUCCUGCUAGGCCGUAACUGACACUCAUGUACGAAAGCUAGGGGAGCGAAUGGGAUUAGAUACCCCAGUAGUCCUAGCCGUAAACGAUGGAUACUAGGUGUAGGGAGUAUCGACCCUCUCUGUGCCGUAGCUAACGCGUUAAGUAUCCCGCCUGGGGAGUACGGUCGCAAGAUUGAAACUCAAAGGAAUUGACGGGGGCCCGCACAAGCGGUGGAGUAUGUGGUUUAAUUCGAUGCAACGCGAAGAACCUUACCUGGGCUUGACAUGCACGGAUCAACUCCAUGAAAGUGGAGCCACAGUCGCAAGACCGGAACGUGCACAGGUGCUGCAUGGCUGUCGUCAGCUCGUGCUGUGAAGUGUCGGGUUAAGUCCCUUAACGAGCGCAACCCCUGUCGCUAGUUGCCAGCGCGUAAUGGCGGGGACUCUAGCGAGACUGCCGGUGUCAAACCGGAGGAAGGUGGGGAUGACGUCAAGUCCUCAUGGCCCUUACGUCCAGGGUGGCAAACGUGCUACAAUGGUGCAUACAAAGCGAUGCGAGACCGCGAGGUGGAGCAAAUCGCAAAAAAUGUACCCCAGUUCAGAUUGUAGUCUGCAACUCGACUACAUGAAGCCGGAAUCGCUAGUAAUCGCGGAUCAGCCAUGCCGCGGUGAAUAUGUUCCUGAGCCUUGUACACACCGCCCGUCAAGUCAUGGAAGCCGGGAGCGCCCGAAGCCGU
This 1364-nucleotide ribosomal RNA is filed under the name metagenome. RNAcentral describes it as "bacterial SSU rRNA". It matches the Rfam family "Bacterial small subunit ribosomal RNA". The record is from RNAcentral.